Molecule: ribosomal RNA, 1347 nt
Filed under: uncultured bacterium
Lineage: Bacteria
Description: bacterial SSU rRNA
Rfam family: Bacterial small subunit ribosomal RNA
Source: RNAcentral
GACGAACGCUGGCGGCGUGCUUAACACAUGCAAGUCGAACGGAAAGGCCCUGCUUUUGUGGGGUGCUCGAGUGGCGAACGGGUGAGUAACACGUGAGUAACCUGCCCUUGACUUUGGGAUAACUUCAGGAAACUGGGGCUAAUACCGGAUAGGAGCUCCUGCUGCAUGGUGGGGGUUGGAAAGUUUCGGCGGUUGGGGAUGGACUCGCGGCUUAUCAGCUUGUUGGUGGGGUAGUGGCUUACCAAGGCUUUGACGGGUAGCCGGCCUGAGAGGGUGACCGGCCACAUUGGGACUGAGAUACGGCCCAGACUCCUACGGGAGGCAGCAGUGGGGAAUAUUGCACAAUGGGCGGAAGCCUGAUGCAGCAACGCCGCGUGCGGGAUGACGGCCUUCGGGUUGUAAACCGCUUUCGCCUGUGACGAAGCGUGAGUGACGGUAAUGGGUAAAGAAGCACCGGCUAACUACGUGCCAGCAGCCGCGGUGAUACGUAGGGUGCGAGCGUUGUCCGGAUUUAUUGGGCGUAAAAGGCUCGUAGGUGGUUGAUCGCGUCGGAAGUGUAAUCUUGGGGCUUAAACCCUGAGCGUGCUUUCGAUACGGGUUGACUUGAGGAAGGUAGGGGAGAAUGGAAUUCCUGGUGGAGCGGUGGAAUGCGCAGAUAUCAGGAGGAACACCAGUGGCGAAGGCGGUUCUCUGGGCCUUUCCUGACGCUGAGGAGCGAAAGCGUGGGGAGCGAACAGGCUUAGAUACCCUGGUAGUCCACGCUGUAAACGGUGGGUACUAGGUGUGGGGUCCAUUCCACGGGUUCCGUGCCGUAGCUAACGCUUUAAGUACCCCGCCUGGGGAGUACGGCCGCAAGGCUAAAACUCAAAGGAAUUGACGGGGCCCCGCACAAGCGGCGGAGCAUGCGGAUUAAUUCGAUGCAACGCGUAGAACCUUACCUGGGUUUGACAUGGAUCGGGAGCGCUCAGAGAUGGGUGUGCCUCUUUUGGGGUCGGUUCACAGGUGGUGCAUGGCUGUCGUCAGCUCGUGUCGUGAGAUGUUGGGUUAAGUCCCGCAACGAGCGCAACCCUUGUUCACUGUUGCCAGCACGUUAUGGUGGGGACUCAGUGGAGACCGCCGGGGUCAACUCGGAGGAAGGUGGGGAUGGCGUCAAGUCAUCAUGCCCCUUAUGUCCAGGGCUUCACGCAUGCUACAAUGGCUGGUACAGAGAGUGGCGAGCCUGUGAGGGUGAGCGAAUCUCGGAAAGCCGGUCUCAGUUCGGAUUGGGGUCUGCAACUCGACCUCAUGAAGUCGGAGUCGCUAGUAAUCGCAGAUCAGCAACGCUGCGGUGAAUACGUUCCCGGGGCU